This is a non-coding RNA of Prunus avium (sweet cherry), 371 nucleotides long. The record is from RefSeq and is a predicted model, not a curated record. NCBI's taxonomy places the organism in Eukaryota, Viridiplantae, Streptophyta, Magnoliopsida, Rosales, Rosaceae.
AUUAAUUUAAGAUUGCUGACUUUGUACAUUGCUGUUUAGUGGUAACAACAUUGGUUUCUCUACUCAUGGCCUGACUAAACUUAAAAUCUUGUCUUAUAUUCAUUUUAAGCAGUGAUGAGUAUUAAUUUAAAGGAUCUACCAGUGGAGAAUACUUAAAGGAUCGGGAUACUAAGAUAAAUUUGACUCUUCUCGCUAGUUUGGCUCGGCAGGGAAGAAUGUUUCUUAACCUUCCACUCUCUGAGCCAGAAAUUCAUGGAGAGUCACUUUGCCAAAUGGAGCAUGAAAAUGCCAAAUUCCUUAAUGCUAAAAGAGAGCUCAGUGAUGAAAAUGUCUCUUCAUAUGAGAAACAGCGGAAAUCUUAUGAACAAUUG